UAAAUCUUCGCAUAGCAUUAAUCUCUUAACCAAUGGAGUAAUACCAUAAUAUUCAGCUUCGUGUCUCAAUGUUCGAAGAUCUACAUUCUUUAAAUCAAUAUCCUUUGUACGAAGAUAAUUUAAUAUAAUAGAAAAUAAUUUUGGAUCUCUAUCUAUAAAUAAUGCACCAAUUUCAUCUCUGUGACUGGCAAUUCUGUUACUUAAUAAAGCUGUAAAAAAUGAAUCUGGAAUCCAUGUUAGCGUCUGCUUUGAUGUUGAAAACCUAGAUAAUGAAUAAUUUCAGAUAGUUACAAAAAUAGCUUAAAAAUUAUCACUUUUUAAAUUUCAUAAUAGCAUUUAGUUGUCGAUUAACAAUUAAAAAAGAUUAUAUAUUUAUCAUACUAUGCCUGAAAGUAAGUAAACGCUUUUGUUUGUACCUUGUUCCACCAACGUUCAAAUGUACAAUAUCACUAAGUCCAAAAGAAGGUGGUACAGCCAUCAUUAUAAAUGAUUCAAACUUUUAUUUUGAUGUUGCAUGUCUUAUUUUAAUAUUUCUAAAACGAAAAAAGAAUUAUAUUCUACUUUCGAUAGGUUAUGAACAAGAGAAUAACUUCAACUUCUGGUUAGCUCCACAGUUGUACAAUGGUUACAGAUUACUAGUAAAUGACAAAGAGAUACGGAAGAGAUAAUGGACGCCACAGAUAUUAAUUAAUUAAUAAUUCGUCGAUUUCUCAUGCAAACUUGAUAAUGAUUGAGCUAUUACAAUAAGCCAAACUUUUCUUCUACGGCAUUACAUGGCUCCUCUUUGAUGACGAUCUACGCCAUGACCUUCCCUACACCAUGGUCUACCAUCGAUGAUUACGUUCUUCGCAUCAUAUCGUAAGUCGCAUGCAUUUUUCCUUCCUCCGGUCACUCAAUCAUGUCGUAGGACGAAAGGUCCGAAUCAACACGGGUGAUUGGUUGUAAUUUACGUAGAAUAUUUUGCACGUACAGUGACCGCGGAUAUUUGUUAUAUCCGUGAGUAGUAACAUUUCUUCUAUGUAUUAUUUAUUAGUUCAGGAUAGGUCUUCUUGCACAUUGCGUUUUUUUUUAUAUUAGUUACAUGAUACUGACAAAUUUUAUAUUAAUAAUAUCGAUAAUAGUACUAACUGAUAUAAACGAUAUUAUAUUAAUAAUUAAUUUAAAUAUUUGUGAUUGAAGAUAUAUUCACUAUAA
RNAcentral lists this unclassified non-coding RNA (1194 nucleotides) under Bombus terrestris (buff-tailed bumblebee). RNAcentral describes it as "misc RNA ENSBTSG00005030990.1". The record is from RNAcentral. Lineage: Eukaryota; Metazoa; Arthropoda; Insecta; Hymenoptera; Apidae.